CGCAACCGGAGAAGAUCGGCCUUCAAACACAGAGAAACCCUAGGUCUAAAUUUGUUAAAAAUAGAACUUUACCAGAGAGCUGGUGAGGAACGUCAGAAACACACCCAAACCGUCCAUAGAAUGACAAUCGGGCCACCAGAAUGCGGUAAAACCGUAGGUCAAACCAUCAGAAACCCUAGAAGCCGAUAAGUCAUCAAAAUCAACCGUCCAAAAUCAUCACAAAGUCUUUCCGGAG
RNAcentral lists this long non-coding RNA (235 nucleotides) under Nicotiana benthamiana. Its description in RNAcentral is "long non-coding RNA (NBEN_LNC037938)". Lineage: Eukaryota; Viridiplantae; Streptophyta; Magnoliopsida; Solanales; Solanaceae. The record is from RNAcentral.